GGAUCAACUCUGCUUAAGCCAGACUGGUACAGAGAUGACAAAGAUACAGUUGCAGCUGUGCAGAGCCUGGAGUCAAGUGGGGAGGACAGAUGUGAAAACUACUGAUGGAGUCACUGACUUUCAACUCAUGGCCAGUACCUUGUCAACACCUGAAAUUGUCACCUCUGAAAUGGUCGUUGUCUUUGCCAACGCGAUGGCUGCCGGUUCUGAGGGAGCCAUCAUGAUCUCUCCAUGACUUCUCACCCUGUUAAGUAAGCCCUGAAUAAACGUUCA
This is a long non-coding RNA of Choloepus didactylus (southern two-toed sloth), 273 nucleotides long. RefSeq lists it as uncharacterized. The transcript has 4 exons. Lineage: Eukaryota; Metazoa; Chordata; Mammalia; Pilosa; Megalonychidae. The record is from RefSeq and is a predicted model, not a curated record.